AUGAUACCAGGAGUUCCCCCAAACAUUUCAGUAGGAACUUUUAUCAGAGAAAUAACUGAUCGGAAAAGAUCGUUUAUCGGUUCAUCACCCAAUGAAGUGGUCAAGGGAAUUCUAGGGGUCAU
RNAcentral lists this microRNA precursor (122 nucleotides) under Prunus dulcis (almond). RNAcentral describes it as "sRNA ncRNA". Lineage: Eukaryota; Viridiplantae; Streptophyta; Magnoliopsida; Rosales; Rosaceae. The record is from RNAcentral.